Nomia melanderi (Alkali bee) is the source of this 1100-nucleotide non-coding RNA. NCBI's taxonomy places the organism in Eukaryota, Metazoa, Arthropoda, Insecta, Hymenoptera, Halictidae. The record is from RefSeq and is a predicted model, not a curated record.
UAGUGACUCCCUGAUAUCUCAUCAGGUUCGUUCACGACAACAGUUACUCCAAAAGAAAAGAUUUCUUCAACCUAGUGGCUCCACAAUUUCGCAUUGGGUUCGUCCUCGCUGUCUAUAAUCCUGGCGGCUCUACAAUUUCGCAUUGGGGGCAGAUUGGAAACAGAUGAAAAUAGCUGGAGUGAGAAGUAACGGAAAGUGGAAGUACCAGAGUGGGAAGUAGCGGAGUGGAGGUUUUAGAAAUGGUGACCAUCAGCGGUGGAUAUGGAAAAUCAUACAGGUGGUCGGUACUCAAUCCGCCCUUAAUCACUAUUACGGUCGGUGCAGGCAACCAUUUUUGAAGAUCUACCUGCAGGUGUCAACGUGACGAGUGCUAUGGGUGUCCUUGAAUUCCCAACAUUAUUUGAGGUCAUAGUCGAAAGUUUCAAAAAUCGAAAUAUGAUGGAUGUCGACUGAGGACGGUACAGAAUCGAGGGAGAGAGGACCGGAUAGGAUCCACCCAAAUGAACCUCGUUUUAUCAUAUACAGUCAGGGUCUAAACUCAAUCUAGAAUUAGAGCUUAUGGGGCCCUCGUCCGCGAGGUUUACACCAGAAAGAUGCGACCAUUUAGAAUUUGAAUUAUGACGAAAUGAGACGUACCUAGUCAGUGCCUUUAUUAUGUUGUCGAAUAUAUAGGCUCGUUUUCCUUUGCCGGUGUUAUUAAGAUUACGGCAACAUGGCGAGCGAAUAAUUCCGGUAAGUUUAAUAUCUUGCCUUGUUCGUUCAAGACAGAGCAAUUAAGCCAAAUGUUCCUUGAUGAGCGUCAUAGCUGAGCCUUGAUCCAGCUACGCUCUUGCAUUGACGCAUCGACCAUUGAGGGAAUGCACUCGAACUCGUGCUGUUGAGGAAAGAAUGAUAAUCAAUUCCUCAAGAUCAUCGCCUAUCAGAAUGAUGAAUUCUAAAAUGAUUUAUUAAAUCGUUCGCGUUCACAUAAGUAGUUUCUUAACGAGACUGACUUUAUAGCGUCACGUGCUACCUACGAAUAUUCUUUCCUUUCUUUCGGUUGGGAAUACCGAGAGACAUAUAUUCACUUUCUGUCGCCACUAAUUUAUAUAAACGUUUAU